UAGAAAAACAAAGCCGGGAGCGUCGCCACGGCAAUUGGAAAACUUCAGGAGCUCUUAAGCGGUCUAGGUGUUAGAAAGUGUUUGGCGUCGUGAAGGAAAUACCUGCCAACGUAGAGAAGGGUCGACGGAAUCUUGGAAGUGAUGAGGCGAUGCCUUCCUUUACUCUUGGGAAACUGCAGCCGGCGGAUGAAGCUUGUCCUGGCAAGGGCACCUGGAGCCACUCCUAAUAAACUCCUGGAAUAUCUCCUCAAAGUUUGGGAAAAAAGGAUGCCUACAGUAAAUGAGGUGGAGAUGAUGGAAAUUCCUUGGCAGAGGAAGGGGUCAAAGGCACAGAGAGGCGGGCCUAUUAGAACUGACUUAUUUGUGCAACACCAGAGAAUCACCAGAUGACUAUGUUUCUCAGGAAGAGCCUCCCCAAAGCCUGGGAUCCAUGAGCACUAUGUUAAGAACUCCUGGAUGAAAAUCUUCCUUACAGAAAGUUCACGGUGGAAAAUAAAUGGCAGGGAAGGUAAGAAGGGCAAUUCUGAGUGUGGUUUGCCCAUUUCAGGCAAUGAGCGCAUAGCAACAUCAUGGAAGCUUUCUUGCCCUAGGAGGAUAUACGUGAAACUGUAAAGUACCACGUUAAGGGGAGAUUUUUCCCAAUGGCCAUGUGUUGGAGCAGUCACUGAAAUGUUGAAAGCAGCUACUUAACUUGAGAAAGCCAAGUAUUUGAAACUAGCUCGGCCAGAUCCCAGCUGUCAUCUCCACUCCACCCCGUGCAAUCACCAUUAGUGAUUUUUCAACCUUCAACCAACAUUUUGUAGAUAAUGUGUUGGGAAGUGUGGGAGAUGAAAAAUAUUAUUGAAACAUGGACUCUAACACAGGGAUGUUCAUCUCCAAGUGGAGAAUGUGAAUGGUGCUUGCAACAGCCUGGCCCUGGAUUCUUUGACCUUCAACUUUAUUGUCUUCAGGACAUUUUUAGAAGCACACAACCACGGCUACUCCUUUGGUAUUGAUACUUAAUACUCCUCUGUCAUCAAGAUUUCAAACUCUGAAAUUCUGUUAGGCCACAAACUCUUAUUUUUCUGUCUUUCUCAUACCUACUAAUUUUUUCUUUACCCUCAUCAUGAACUCCAGACCCCUUGAAUGCUCAUACCCGAGUAUUCAGGUAUGAGUAUUCAGCUCUGUCUUGGUUUCACUUGCCUCUUCCUAGCUAGGAUACCAUGGACAUCUGAAGUGACCAAGGACCACCAGGUGGCAGCAGAGUCUCAACUAAACUGUCCACCAACUUGGGCACCAAGUCAGGUAUGGUCAUUGUUAUUUAUAAUGGGAGCCUCAAGUUUGAAGGGGAAGUGGAAUUAAACAAAGGAUAGAGCAUACAGGGAGAUCAGGCAGCAGGGGGACAAGAAGAUCUUGAUCCUCAUGUAAGGAUAAACCAGAGAAGUGGCUAGACCCAAGCAAUGGGGGAGAUGGCAGGGUUCUCCCAGGUUCAUUGUCUGUAACCAUUUCAUACCUAUACAUCUGGGUAGUCUCCUCCUGCUUUGAAACAUCCCUUGCCCAACUGCUCUGAAGCUCUUUCUAGUUAAGGGUUAGUUACUUAAUGUCAACAAGCCUCCUGGAAUCCUUUGCUCUUAACUGCCUUGCCAAUCCCCAGUGCUAGAUGGAGUCGACCCUCUUGUCUCUCUCCUUCCAGGCGGCCAGGUGCUCCUGCAGAAAGUUACAAAAGUCUACACAUUGGAUCAACUCUGAAUCCAUAAUAUGUAACCUCAGUGGUAACCUCAAGGCUGCUGAAGUUUCCUCUUUUCAUCCUUAGUUAAUUCCUUGGGGCAUUGCUCAUAGAAGCAAUUCUAAGCCUUCUCCACUCGCUGAAGUCCCUUUCUGCAUUUCAGCUCCUCGACCACAGCAGAUGACCUCACAUCCUCCUUUGUCUGGAGGACUGGGACCAUCCAUCCAGUCCUCCUCUGCAGGCCCUCUCCACUGUAGACAGAGCACAGGACCUACAGAGUCCUCCAUGGUACGUUUCUUGAGCUGAAUGGGAAAGACAUCAGAAAUUUCAUCCUUUUCAAGGCAAAGUAAGAAAACAGCUAGCCUACAUCUCAUCUCAGAAUCAACUUACUACUCUGAAUGAUAUAUUACUCUCUUAGUCAGCUCGGGCUGACAAAAUAACACAGCCUGGGUGGCUUAAUCAAUAGACAUUUAUCCUCACAGUUCUGGAGGCCGGGAAGUCCAAGGUCAAGGUGCCAGACAAUUCAGUUCCUGGUGAACAUCUUCCUGGUUUGUAGACAGCCACCUUCUCCUUACGUUCUUACGUGGUUUUUCCUUGGGUGCAUACAGAGCGAGAAAGAGAUCUCUCUCUCUCUCUCUUCUCUUCUUAUAAGGCCACCAAUCCCAUCAUGAGUGCUUCACCUUCAUGAUCUAAUCUAACUCCUGUGGCCUCAUCUACAAAUACCAUCACACUGGGGAUUAGGGUCUCAGCAUAUGAAUUUGGGGUACACAAAUAUUUAGUCCAGAACAGUUACAAAUGUUGAUGGCUGGAGUGUUUCCUAACUUAGGUCUGGGGUGACAGCUCUUAAAAAUCUCAUCUGCAAAGAUAGUGCUUUCAAACUUUUCAUUGAAAAAUUCACAAACUAACAUAAAAUCUAUUCUGUCCAAUUUUAAUUGACCUUGUUCUUCCUGUGCAAUGAUUUCUGAUUCAUUUAUUCAGUCAUUCAAUUAGUAAAUACUUAACUGACUUGAGCCAAGACUCCUAACUACUACGUACUGCCAAAUACAGACAUGUGAUGAUGAAGCACAUUUGUGGCAGAUAAAGAAUAUUUAACAAGAAGAAUCAUUCAUCCAGAAUUUGUCAGACUCCCCAUUCAGCACUAUGGAAAGAGAAUCCACUCACUGGCCCGCAGGCGUAGGCCAGUGUGCUGAGCUGGGUGCUCAGUCAAGAGGUAAGUGCCUCAGGAUAAAGUUUUUAUUAUAAUCUCUCCCGAUAUUCAAGUAGUUUUCAAAGGCUUUCUAUUUAAUGAAAAGAUAAUGUGUGACUAGCAUAUAUAUGUAUGUUCUAGACUGCAUGAUGGGUACCUCUCUCAGAACAGUCACUUAGAAUCCUGCCCCAUUUAUCUGUUUGUUAUGAACUAGAUUAUUAUGGAUUAUCCCAACUCAGAUCACUCCUGAGUAAACUAACAAAGAUGAACUUUUAAAUUUGCAACACUGUAGACUAGACCUUGGCUUCACAAUGACCUCACCAAUGCGCUGGCUGGCAUCCUCGAAGGUUCAGCUUCAUCCUUCUUGUCUCUUAAAGCUAUC
This is a long non-coding RNA of Aethalodelphis obliquidens (Pacific white-sided dolphin), 3273 nucleotides long. RefSeq lists it as uncharacterized. The record is from RefSeq and is a predicted model, not a curated record. Lineage: Eukaryota; Metazoa; Chordata; Mammalia; Artiodactyla; Delphinidae. The transcript is spliced from 3 exons.